AAAGCUUUAAGUUAAAUAAACUAUUAACCUUCAAAGUUAAAAUUACAGAAAUAUAUUUGUAAGCUUUA
RNAcentral lists this transfer RNA (68 nucleotides) under Valentia hoffmanni. RNAcentral's name for it is "tRNA-Trp". Lineage: Eukaryota; Metazoa; Arthropoda; Insecta; Hemiptera; Reduviidae. The record is from RNAcentral.